GUAAAGGUAAUGAGAAAGAGGAGUACAUUCAGGAAACUUACAGAGAGAGCAGCUCAGCGGCUGGAAGGCAGCUCAAGGGAAAUGGAUGGAAGGUAGCUUUUGAACCGGGAGGCUGAAGGAGGAAACUUUGGUAGGCUUUCACGCAUCGUCAGCGUUAAAGGACUUUUGAGUGAUAAAUAAAGGUGGUACCGCGAUGAAUAAUCGCCCUUUGU
RNAcentral lists this non-coding RNA (212 nucleotides) under Lachnospiraceae bacterium. Its description in RNAcentral is "T-box sequence". It matches the Rfam family "T-box leader". Rfam says of the family: Uncharged tRNA acts as the effector for transcription antitermination of genes in the T-box leader family. T-boxes are found upstream of many aminoacyl-tRNA synthetase genes and some amino acid biosynthetic genes usually in Gram-positive bacteria. The anticodon of a specific tRNA base pairs to a specifier sequence within the T-box motif, and the NCCA acceptor tail of the tRNA base pairs to a conserved bulge in the T-box antiterminator hairpin. Lineage: Bacteria; Bacillati; Bacillota; Clostridia; Lachnospirales; Lachnospiraceae. The record is from RNAcentral.